GAUGAACGCUGGCGGCGUGCCUAAUACAUGCAAGUCGAGCGAACAGACGAGGAGCUUGCUCCUCUGACGUUAGCGGCGGACGGGUGAGUAACACGUGGAUAACCUCCCUAUACGACUGGGAUAACUUCGGGACACCGGAGCUCAUACCGGAUAAUAUAUUGAACCGCAUGGUUCAAUAGUGAAAGACGGUUUUGCUGUCACUUAUAGAUGGAUCCGCGCCGCAUUAGCUAGUUGGUAAGGUAACGGCUUACCCAGGCAACGAUGCGUAGCCGACCUGAGAGUGGGAUCCGCCACACUGGAACUUAGACACGGACCAUACUCCUGCGGGAGGCAGCAGUAGGGAAUCUUCCGCAAUGGGCGAAAGCCUGACGGAGCAACGCCGCGUGAGUGAUGAAGGUCUUCGGAUCGUAAAACUCUGUUAUUAGGGAAGAACAAAUGUGUAAGAAACGAUGCACUGCUUGACGGUACCUAAUCAGAAAGCUACGGCUAACUACUUG
This 497-nucleotide ribosomal RNA is filed under the name uncultured bacterium. Its description in RNAcentral is "partial 16S ribosomal RNA". It matches the Rfam family "Bacterial small subunit ribosomal RNA", at positions 28 to 507 of the family's 1533-position model. The record is from RNAcentral.